Molecule: transfer RNA, 92 nt
Filed under: Candidatus Peregrinibacteria bacterium
Lineage: Bacteria; Candidatus Peregrinibacteriota
Description: tRNA-Ser
Rfam family: tRNA
About the family: Transfer RNA (tRNA) molecules are approximately 80 nucleotides in length. Their secondary structure includes four short double-helical elements and three loops (D, anti-codon, and T loops). Further hydrogen bonds mediate the characteristic L-shaped molecular structure. tRNAs have two regions of fundamental functional importance: the anti-codon, which is responsible for specific mRNA codon recognition, and the 3' end, to which the tRNAs corresponding amino acid is attached (by aminoacyl-tRNA synthetases). tRNAs cope with the degeneracy of the genetic code in two manners: having more than one tRNA (with a specific anti-codon) for a particular amino acid; and 'wobble' base-pairing, i.e. permitting non-standard base-pairing at the 3rd anti-codon position.
Source: RNAcentral
GGAGAGAUGUCCGAGUGGUUGAAGGAGCUGCUCUCGAAAAGCGGUAUUCCGAGCAAUCGGAAUCGGGGGUUCGAAUCCCCCUCUCUCCGCCA